RNAcentral lists this ribosomal RNA (287 nucleotides) under uncultured beta proteobacterium. RNAcentral's name for it is "partial 16S ribosomal RNA". It matches the Rfam family "Bacterial small subunit ribosomal RNA", at positions 485 to 771 of the family's 1533-position model. Lineage: Bacteria; Pseudomonadati; Pseudomonadota; Betaproteobacteria. The record is from RNAcentral.
AAGAAGCACCGGCUAACUACGUGCCAGCAGCCGCGGUAAUACGUAGGGUGCGAGCGUUAAUCGGAAUUACUGGGCGUAAAGCGUGCGCAGGCGGCUUUUUAAGACAGAUGUGAAAUCCCCGGGCUUAACCUGGGAACUGCAUUUGUGACUGGAAGGCUAGAGUGUAGCAGAGGGGGGUAGAAUUCCACGUGUAGCAGUGAAAUGCGUAGAUAUGUGGAGGAAUACCGAUGGCGAAGGCAGCCCCCUGGGCUAACACUGACGCUCAUGCACGAAAGCGUGGGGAGCAA